AAAUUUCAUUACUUGAACGACAAAGAAAUACAAGACCGGUUUGGUUUAAGAGACACACAAACGACACCGUAUAAGUAGUAGACAUCGUUAAAUAUUAAAGGCCGGUUUGGUUUAAGUGGAAAAAUAUAACCGUUAGAAAAUGCAGGAUGAGCGGUUCAAAUUCGAAAAAAUCGAACCAAGUUUUAAAAUAUAACCGUUAGAAAACGUGUCUUCAGUAAACGCCUCCGUUAAUCAAGUAUAGACGCGUUAAGAAUAAUCGUGUGCGUGUCAAUUUAUUUCCACAUUGUUCACAGUUCCUCUUUCUGGGAAGGAUUCUCUCGAUCGAUUCUUCCAAAAUUUGCAAAACUGGAAAAAAAUCCGAUUGCAAUCUUAGAUUAGUUGAUUCCGCCUAAAACCCGAUGUGAUUGUUUGGGCUCCUCUCACUCGUCAUCGUUGAGAUGAUAUAUUAUCGCUUGGAGGAGGAAACCCACCGGCCUUUUAGUUGCUGCUUUACAUACCUCGAAGCUUACUCCGCAUGAAACCAUCGUCACCAAGGUAUGUGCUUCAGAAGGUGUUCAAAACCAAAUUGUUCAAGAUUUUGAGGAGAUUUCAAGUGUAGCGGACUUUUGUGGCAGGUAUGUGCUUUUCAAACUUGCUUGUAAUUAGUUUCUGAAAUUCAAACAUAUGUGAAAUCAAGAUUAAUUUCAUUUCCACUAGACACGUGCUUGAAUAAGCAUCCAAAAUCUUAACAUAUUUAUGUCUUAGCCUUUAUACUUAUGUGAGAGCUUGAAGUAUAUAUGCCAAUAUUGAUUUUCUCAGGUAUGUGCUUCUCUUAUGGAUUCCCAAAAAAGAUUUUUCUAAUGUUUACAAUUCUUUGGUGAAGUAUGGAUUUAUCACCCUCUUUAUAUUGUAUAACUUUGGAUUUGAAUCAAUGUUUCAGAGUAACCACAUCUCUGUUUCAUGAAGAAAACACUGGUCACUUGAAAUUCUGCAGGUCUAUUUUCUUCUGCAUCAACCGAUUUCAAAUUCUAAUGUGGUGUAUCUCAAACCUCCAUACAUGGGUUCUGCGCAAUCACUUAAAAAUACAAAACAUACAUACAUAAAUACAUACAUGCAUUCAUAUAUACCUACUUUCAUACUGUAUACAUGCAUAAUUUCUUCCAUACGUCAUUGUUUAUUUGCUUUCUUGAUUUUUUGUUUGAUUCUUCUGCUAACUUACUUGCUUCUUUAUUUACCCUUUCAUUCAUACUUCUCCGCUUGCUUGCUUUCUUGAUGUCCUGCUUCUUUAUUGACUUCCCUGAUUCAUUGUUUCACUUAGGCUCCGACUGGUGACCUUUUCGGGAACACGAGGAACGAAUAGGAAAGGAACGUAUAGGAAUAAAAUUGCAGGAAUGAAAAAUAAUGUUUGUUCCUUAUCAAAUUUAACAAGGAAUGUUUUUGUUCUAUAUUUCUCUACAAAAAAGGAAUUGGGAGGAACAAGAAGGAAAAACUAUUCCUUGUGAAUGGUGAUUUUUUUUGGGAAUGAUAAGGAAUUCAGUGUUCCCUUUCGUUCCUUGGUCACCAUUCAAAGCCUUAUUUACUUGCUUUAUUGAUUUGUUGUUUAUUUGUUCCUUGUGUGCUUCUUUCCUUCCUUGUUCCUUGUGUGCUUCUUUCCUUCCUUGUGUGUUUUCUCUUCCUUGCUUCCUUAUGUUUUGUUUUUGUUCCUAUUUGGAUGUGUUUUUGCGUACCUGGUUGUUUAUAUAUAUUCUUUUGCGAUUCCUUACAAGCUUCUUCUUUUUUCCAUCUUUGAUCUUGUGUCUGUCGUUCUGUGGAAACUUAUUGCUGAUAUCCAUCGAUAACCAGCUGAUUUUAUUUUUUAUACUGGUACAUUUAUAUUUUGUGCUUAUGUUGACAGCAAUAAAUAUCGUUUGGAAAGUAGUUAUUAUCUAUAUAUUCUAUGUUUGUACAUUAUAACAUCUCUCAUUUUAUAAAUAGAUAUAUCUUGGAGUUUAUAUAAAUAUUUAUCUCUUUUGACUAACAAUACCUAUUAUCUAUGUUUUGGUGCUUGUGUUCAUUUAUGAAAUGGAUGUAUCUUUGGAGUCUCUUACAGAUAUCUACUUUGGGUGCAAGUAUGACUCAUGUAUAUUCUGGUAGAAUUUUCCUUGAAUCUGGUAUGUACUUGCUUUGCGUCAUGCUUGAAAUCCUUGGUGAUUAUUCCAAAAUAUUACAAUGACAUGAUCCUCAAAAUCUAACUGGUUGUUAUUUGAGUAAUGUUAGAAAUAUGCAUCAUGAUUCUUACAUUUGUGAUUAUUGUGUAAUUUUUUCUCUUUAAAAUGUGUAUCCGUUGACUUGACUUUGAUAAUAUAAUGCUUGGAAAUAUUUUCAGUUAUGGUAUUAGACUAGUAUCUCUCACUUUGUCUUAACAUAUAUAGUUGAUUGGAACUUGGUUUCUUUCUCAAAACAGAGUUCAUUGUCUCUAUGUUUUUUUCUACUUGAAUCUUUUUUAAGUAAUGUUUACUGCUGUUUGCCAAAAUGGGCAAUUUAAUCUCAGCAUGAGUUUUGUUAAUAAACAAUGAUUUAUAUAUUUUUUGGCUUUGUGUUAAGAUUACAAGUUUUUUCAUGUGAACACAUUUGUUUGCUUAUACGACCAUUUUGGUCAUUCUCUGUUAAGAUUAUUUUUUAUCAUGAUAUCCUCGGUGUGGUCGGAUGAUAACCAUUUUUCAUCUUAAACUCUUGUAAUGGUUGGUGUGAUAAGAAAAUAUAAAAUU
Long non-coding RNA from Brassica napus (rape), 2726 nucleotides. RefSeq lists it as uncharacterized. NCBI's taxonomy places the organism in Eukaryota, Viridiplantae, Streptophyta, Magnoliopsida, Brassicales, Brassicaceae. The record is from RefSeq and is a predicted model, not a curated record. The transcript has 5 exons.